Molecule: non-coding RNA, 78 nt
Organism: Araneus ventricosus
Lineage: Eukaryota; Metazoa; Arthropoda; Arachnida; Araneae; Araneidae
Source: the annotation of a GenBank genome assembly
UUCCCACACCGGGAAUUGAUAUUGAACCCGGGCCUCCUGGGUGAGAGCCAGGUAUCCUAACCACUAGACCAUGUGGGA